AAAACGACUCUCGGCAACGGAUAUCUCGGCUCUCGCAUCGAUGAAAAACGCAGCGAAAUGCGAUACUUGGUGUGAAUUGCAGGAUCCCGCGAACCAUCGAGUCUUUGAACGCAAGUUGCGCCCGAAGCCUUUUGGCCGAGGGCACGUCUGCCUGGGUGUCACUC
Molecule: ribosomal RNA, 164 nt
Filed under: Euphorbia lucida
Lineage: Eukaryota; Viridiplantae; Streptophyta; Magnoliopsida; Malpighiales; Euphorbiaceae
Description: 5.8S ribosomal RNA
Rfam family: 5.8S ribosomal RNA
About the family: 5.8S ribosomal RNA (5.8S rRNA) is a component of the large subunit of the eukaryotic ribosome.
Source: RNAcentral